GUUGUAUGGUUAAGUGACUAAGCGUACACGGUGGAUGCCUUGGCAGUCAGAGGCGAUGAAGGACGUGCUAACCUGCGUUAAGCACGGGUGAGCUGGUAAGAAGCGCUUGAGCCCGUGAUGUCCGAAUGGGGAAACCCACUGCAUUUUGUGCAGUAUCGUUGCGUGAAUACAUAGCGCAGCGAGGCGAACCGGGAGAACUGAAACAUCUAAGUACCCCGAGGAACAGAAAUCAACCGAGAUCCCCUUAGUAGCGGCGAGCGAACGGGGGCCAGCCCUUAA
Molecule: ribosomal RNA, 279 nt
Filed under: Zobellella endophytica
Lineage: Bacteria; Pseudomonadati; Pseudomonadota; Gammaproteobacteria; Aeromonadales; Aeromonadaceae
Description: partial 23S ribosomal RNA
Rfam family: Bacterial large subunit ribosomal RNA
Source: RNAcentral